CUUUCCUCCGCAAAUUCUACUGGCCCGUUAUCUCCAGUCUCCACUUUGGGCCGAAAAUCUCAGCCACGGUGGUCGGGCCUAGUUUAUUUAUUUAUCCAGACUCUAAGCCAUUUAUUUGUUUCGCUGAAUACGGAAAGCGUAAGAAAAUUAUGGAGGUGGAUAAAAACCCGAGCCACUCUGCAUUCGACCACGCCAACUCUCGUAACCCAAAAUCCCGAAAGAGUCGAACAUGGUCCCUACCACAACCAUUAUCAAAUUGGACGGCCGCUCUAUCGACCAAGCGUCUCUGUAUCUUCUUAGUUCGGCGAAAUGCUAAAUGCUGUCUGGUCGGCGACCACUCUUUUCUCCGGCCCGGAUAGGUAAGCCCGCCUAGCCUACCCUAUCCACUGGCCGGUGGAUAGCUACCGGG
Molecule: long non-coding RNA, 409 nt
Filed under: Androctonus crassicauda
Lineage: Eukaryota; Metazoa; Arthropoda; Arachnida; Scorpiones; Buthidae
Source: RNAcentral